GAAUAGAAAAAAGUGUACCAUGUUUCUUUCUGCUUGGAAUGCCCCUCACCUAGAUACCUACAUAGCUCACCAAUCCCCCUUUUCCAGUUUCUACUCAAAUACCACCUUUUCAAAAAAAAAAACCUUCUCUGGUCAUCCAAGUGAAAAACAACACAACACAUAAAUCCCCUAACCGUUUUCCCUGCUUUAUUUUUCUAUUAAGCACUUAUCACCAACAUACCACGUACGAGGGAGAACCCAAGAAAAACCAGAAAUUUAUAAAAAAUUGUGUAUUUAUUCUUACAUGUUUAAACUUCAGUCACCUUCAAAAUACUCCCCAUUUGAUGCAAUAUACCUAUCAAGAUGUUUUCUUCCACUGCCCAAAAAAGUUUUGAACUCCAAUUUUGGUGCCUUAUAGUGCUGCUGCAGAUUUUUAUUUUACCUCUUCCACAUAAGCAAAACAUUUCCCUUUGAGGACUUUUUUCACCGGGAAAUAAGAAAAAGUCACUCAGGAGAUCAGGUGAAUAGGGAGGGUGGGCAGAGGGGUCAUGGCAUUUUUGGUCAAAGAUUGCCGAACAUUCAGCACAAUGUGGGCAGGUACACUCUUAAAUCACCCAUCAUGAAAUGGGAAAAUGUGUUGAAAAGAGUUUUCAAAACAAAUUCACUGAGCCAAACACAGCCUCUCACAACAAUGUCAACUGGUACACUGAUACAGGUGGAUUUCUAGAACAUUCACUUAGCAGGGCAAGCUGGUACUACAAGGUGCCCACCCUUCAGAAGAUAAUUCCAGGGUUUUGGGGGUCCCCCUGUCAUGUAUUAUUUAUCUUUUUUACUGUCAUUUCCCCUCCACAGGAACAGAAGCUCCUUGAGGACAAGAAUUUUGCUUUGUUCCCUGAUGCCUAGAGAAGAACCUACUACAUAAUAGGCACUGAGUAAAUAUUGAAAAAAUGUGGGAAUGCUUAAAAUAAUCACUGUGAUUUUCAAAAAGAUCCUUGGUGAUUCUAAUGGGCAGCCAAAGUUCAGAACCACUGCUCUAAAGACUGGCAUUCCUGGGUCUUCUUAUCCAUCUCUUUUUUUCUCUAGGUGAUGACCUUUAUUCCCAUGGAUAAUUAUACUGUAAAUACCCAAACUACUCCAGAUUAUUCAAUUAGCCACUUGACAUUACAUUUGUAUGUCUCACCUUAAGGUACAGUACACAUAUACAACAUCUAAUUAAAUUUCACCAUACCCCAUUCUCCUCAUCUCAGUAAGUGAUACCACCCAACUGCCCAGUAUCUCAUGUCAAAAAAUGCAGUCCCAUUCUUGAUUUCUUUUUCCCCUUUAUAUCCCACAUUUAAUCAGGUCUUAUUAAUUCUAUCACCAAAAUAAAUGUUGAAUACAUCUAUUUCUCUACAUCUCCACUAACCAUCUCUUAUUUGGAGUCAUUUCUACUAAUUGGUCUCCCUGUUCCUACUCUUAACCUUGAUUUAAUCCCUUUUCUACACCGAAGAAAAAAUUAAUUUUAAAAUAUAAAUAAGAUGGUCUUACUUAAAAUGCUCCAAUAGUUUCUCUUCAUACUUACAAUCCAACUUCUUGGCACAAUCCACAAGGCCUAGAGCUUACCUGUGUAUUUUCUAAUAAAGUGAGUUUAUACCAAAUAGGGAAAAAAAGUUUUUAAUAAUCUUUCCUAAAAAAUACUUCUGGAAAAUUAUUAUGGAAAAAGAAUGCUUUGAAACCUACGUAUGUAUACUUCUGGUAGAAAGCAUGGUAUAGCUAAAAGGUCACUUCAUUAAGAAUUAGGUUUGAUUAUGAAUGAGUAUGGGCUAUGGAACUAACAAAACAGAUUACUAAAGAUUACUAAUUACUAAACAGAUUACUUUCCUGCACUUUAAUUUUAUUAUCUGCUAAAGAGUGAGAAAAUUAUCUGCUAAAGUAUGUCUCAAUUCAAAUUACAUUAUAGGGAUUUAAAACACCUAACUUUUCCUCCAAUCUCCUAGAAAGAGUGAGAAAAGGACACAAGAAAGAUUGAGAGGAUCAGAGCCAUCAUCACUGUUGCUUCAUAAAAAUGGAAGAGGAUCUGACACAUGGAAAGAAAAGAUUAAAAUACUGGAUUAGCUGAUCUUUAGGAUUCCGUAUAGUUCAAGUAUUUCAUGUCCAAGCAGGAAAAAGGAGUCUGUAAUCUUUUUCCCUAGUGAAACUGAAAACAGCAGAGGGCUUCAGUGGGCAACUUCGGAUAAUGCUAUGCUUCAAGAUCCCCCACCUUUUCCUUAGCAAGACAAAGAAUAGUUUAUUCUGCUGUAAUUUAUUUUCAGAAAAAUAAAAUUCUUUUUCAAUCGAAAGUACUAUUGCCAAAAAGAUCUCUAUACUUGUCUUUUGUGUCCAAAAACUACCAAAUCUAUUAUGUUGGGCUUUUAGGGAUUUUCUUUUUCUUCCACGGGAUGGUGGUGAUAACCAUGAGGGUACAAAAACAUCCCUCUAUUUUCACUCAUAAAGCUAUAGAUAAACAAAUCCAAAUAAAAUAACAGAAUUUAAAAAAUAAGUUCCACUAUGAUCCAAAGCUAUCCUAAAAUUACCUAGAGGUGAGGUAAUAAGCCAGUUAAGAACACUGAAACUGGGUAUUGUCCUAUUAACCAGCUGACCUUGGAUAAGUCAUUAGGCUCUCAGUGCUUUAGCUUUCUUAUCUGUAAAAUGGAGAUUACGAACUGAAACUUUUCAGGUAAGACAUGUACAGCAAUAACUAUGCUUUCCUUCAAUAACGUAUACCAACCUAGUCUUCACCCUAACAGCCAGAUACCCUAGUACUCACUAUUUGGAAAUAAGUCUAAUUUUCUUAUGUAAAUUCUAUCAUGCACUUCUUUUUUAGGACUAGUUAUUCAAUUAAUAAAAA
Phyllostomus discolor (pale spear-nosed bat) is the source of this 2845-nucleotide long non-coding RNA. RefSeq lists it as uncharacterized. Lineage: Eukaryota; Metazoa; Chordata; Mammalia; Chiroptera; Phyllostomidae. The transcript has 2 exons. The record is from RefSeq and is a predicted model, not a curated record.